GGCCCGCACAAGCGGUGGAGCAUGUGGUUUAAUUCGAUGCAACGCGAAGAACCUUACCUACUCUUGACAUCCACAGAAUUCGGCAGAGAUGCCUUAGUGCCUUCGGGAACUGUGAGACAGGUGCUGCAUGGCUGUCGUCAGCUCGUGUUGUGAAAUGUUGGGUUAAGUCCCGCAACGAGCGCAACCCUUAUCCUUUGUUGCCAGCGGUCCGGCCGGGAACUCAAAGGAGACUGCCAGUGAUAAACUGGAGGAAGGUGGGGAUGACGUCAAGUCAUCAUGGCCCUUACGAGUAGGGCUACACACGUGCUACAAUGGCGCAUACAAAGAGAAGCGACCUCGCGAGAGCAAGCGGACCUCAUAAAGUGCGUCGUAGUCCGGAUCGGAGUCUGCAACUCGACUCCGUGAAGUCGGAAUCGCUAGUAAUCGUAGAUCAGAAUGCUACGGUGAAUACGUUCCCGGGCCUUGUACACACCGCCCGUCACACCAUGGGAGUGGGUUGCAAAAGAAGUAGGUAGCUAACCUCGGAGGCGCUAACACUUUGAUUACUGCC
Molecule: ribosomal RNA, 550 nt
Filed under: Buttiauxella gaviniae
Lineage: Bacteria; Pseudomonadati; Pseudomonadota; Gammaproteobacteria; Enterobacterales; Enterobacteriaceae
Description: bacterial SSU rRNA
Rfam family: Bacterial small subunit ribosomal RNA
Source: RNAcentral